GAUGAACGCUGGCGGCGUGCCUAAUACAUGCAAGUCGAGCGAACAGACGAGGAGUUUCCUCCCCUGACGUUAUCGGCGCACGGGUGAGUAACACGUGGAUAACCUACCUAUAAGACUGGGAUCACUUCGGGACACUGGCUCUAAUACCGGAUUAUAUAUUGUACCGCAUUGUUCAAUUGUGAAAUACGGUUUUGCUGUUACCUAUUGAUGGAUCCUCGUCGCAUUAGCUAGUUGGUAAGGUAACGGCUUACCAAGGCAAUCAUUCGUAGCCGACCUGAGAGGGGGAUGGGCCACACUGGAACGGGGACACGGUCAAGACUCCAAGGGGAGGAGGAAGUAGGGAAUCUUCGGAAAUGGGCGAAGGCUUGACGGGGAAAGGCGGCGUGAGUGAGGAAGGUCUUCGGAUCGUAAAACUCUGUUAUUAGGGAAGAACAAAUGUGGAAGUAACUAUGCACGUCUUGACGGUACCUAAUCAGAAAGCCACGGCUAACUACGUG
RNAcentral lists this ribosomal RNA (497 nucleotides) under uncultured bacterium. Its description in RNAcentral is "partial 16S ribosomal RNA". It matches the Rfam family "Bacterial small subunit ribosomal RNA", at positions 28 to 507 of the family's 1533-position model. The record is from RNAcentral.